Molecule: ribosomal RNA, 401 nt
Filed under: uncultured prokaryote
Description: partial 16S ribosomal RNA
Source: RNAcentral
CCCUAUGGGGUGAUAUCCCCGAUCCCGUCACCGUGCGGGUCGUAAAAACCAACUGACCACUCUGAGCGGUCUGUAGUGCAGACCUGCAGGCAGUCCAGUUCCAUGGCACGAGUGGAAAGCAUCAGUGAACGGGCGCGUACCUUUCCGAUAAUGAACUUUUCGGUUGUCCCGACGUAAUUGAUCAACUUGUGACGCAGUAGCCACGCAAAAAAACCUUUGCGCUCAGCAAAGCCAAAUUGCUGGCCCCAGGUGAAGAAUGCUUUUGAGCCGCUCAACCAGCCCAAGGUCUUGAUAUAUUUUUCUAAUGCCGAACGAUUUUUCGCUACAGUUUCAGGUACUCCUUCAUACAAGCCCAGUUGCAUGAAUAGCUCCGAAAUAUUCCUCUCUUCCAGCGGGAGGGC